GAACGGCUCAUUAUAUCAUUUAUAAUUCACUUGAUCGCAUUUCAUUCUUACAUGGAUAACCGUAGGAAUUCUAGAGCUAAUACAUGAAAAAAGUCUGGACCUCUUUCGGGAGGAAAGGGUGAAUUUAUUAGAUUACCAACCAACGCAGAGUAUUCAAACUUCACAGAACUAGUGUCUGUGCGGGCUCUGGUCUCUCUUGAGACAGUUAAAGGUGACUCAGAAUAACUUAUCGAAUCGCAGAGACAUUUAUGUCGGCGAUGAUACAAACAAAUUUCUGCCCUAUCAACUUUCGAAGGUAGUAUAGAGGACUACCUUGGUGAUAACGGGUAACGGGGAAUGUGGGUUUUAUUCCGGAGAGGGGGCCUGAGAAAUGGCCACCACUUCCAAGGAAGGCAGCAGGCGCGCAAAUUACUCAAUCUCAAUUCGAGGAAGUAGUGACAAGAAAUAUCAAUAUAGGACCAAUGGUGCUAUGUUUGAAAUGAGUGUAAUUUAAAAACAUUAUCAAGGAACCAUUGGAGGGCAAGUCUGGUGCCAGCAGCCGCGGUAAUUCCAGCUCCAAUAGUGUAUACUAAUGUUGCUGCAGUUAAAAAGCUCGUAGUUGGAUUUCGGUUAAUAGAGUGUUAGUCUACUUUUUUAUAAGUACGCACUGCCAAUCUAUUUCCUUCUUUUCAGUAACAAAAUUUAUUUUGUUCUGAAUCUUUUACUUUGAAAAAAUUAGAGUGUUCAAAGCAGGCGUAUUUUGCCUUUGAAUAUAUUAGCAUGGGAUAAUGAAAUAAGACUUUUUGCCUUAUUCUCGUUGGUUUUUGAGGCUAAAGUAAUGAUUAAUAGGGAUAGUUGGGGUCAUUAGUAUUUAAUUGUCAGAGGUGAAAUUCUAAGAUUAAUUAAAGACUAACUACUGCGAAAGCAUUUGACAAGGAUGUUUUCAUUAAUCAAGAACGAAAGUUGGGGGAUCGAAGAUGAUCAGAUACCGUCGUAGUCUCAACCAUAAACUAUGCCGACCAAGGAUUCGGGGGUGUUAUAUGAAUGACCCUCCGGGCACUUAUAGAGAAAUCAUAAGUAUUUGGGUUCCGGGGGGAGUAUGGUCGCAAGGCUGAAACUUAAAGGAAUUGACGGAAGGGCACAACCAGGAGUGGAACUUGCGGUUUAAUUUGACCCAACACGGGAAAACUUACCAGGUCCAGACACAGUAAGGAUUGACAGAUUGAGAGCUCUUUCUUGAUUUUGUGGUUGGUGGUGCAUGGCCGUUUCUAGUUGGUGGAGUGAUUUGUCUGGUUAAUUCCGUUAACGAACGAGACCUUAACCUAUUAAAUAGUUACAUGAACC
This 1323-nucleotide ribosomal RNA is filed under the name metagenome. Its description in RNAcentral is "SSU rRNA". It matches the Rfam family "Eukaryotic small subunit ribosomal RNA", at positions 91 to 1369 of the family's 1831-position model. The record is from RNAcentral.